RNAcentral lists this transfer RNA (70 nucleotides) under Dipodomys ordii (Ord's kangaroo rat). It matches the Rfam family "tRNA". Rfam says of the family: Transfer RNA (tRNA) molecules are approximately 80 nucleotides in length. Their secondary structure includes four short double-helical elements and three loops (D, anti-codon, and T loops). The record is from Rfam by way of RNAcentral. Lineage: Eukaryota; Metazoa; Chordata; Mammalia; Rodentia; Heteromyidae.
GGGAAUGUGACUCAGUGGUAGAGUGCUUGCCUAACAUGCAUGAAGCCCUGGGUUCAAUUCCUCAGUACCA